RNAcentral lists this ribosomal RNA (940 nucleotides) under Dipodascaceae sp. LM380. RNAcentral's name for it is "bacterial SSU rRNA". The stretch from base 1 to 360 matches the Rfam family "Eukaryotic small subunit ribosomal RNA", at positions 1471 to 1831 of the family's 1831-position model. The record is from RNAcentral. Lineage: Eukaryota; Fungi; Ascomycota; Dipodascomycetes; Dipodascales; Dipodascaceae.
CCCUAGAGUUCUGGGCCGCACGCGCGCUACACUGACGGAGCCAGCGAGUCUAACCUGUGCCGAGAGGUAUGGGUAAUCUUGUGAAACUCCGUCGUGCUGGGGAUAGAGCAUUGCAAUUAUUGCUCUUCAACGAGGAAUUCCUAGUAAGCGCAAGUCAUCAGCUUGCGUUGAUUACGUCCCUGCCCUUUGUACACACCGCCCGUCGCUACUACCGAUUGAAUGGCUUAGUGAGGCUUCCGGAUUGAUUAAUUGGAGAGGGCAACUUUUCUGGUUGAACGAGAAGCUAGUCAAACUUGGUCAUUUAGAGGAAGUAAAAGUCGUAACAAGGUUUCCGUAGGUGAACCUGCGGAAGGAUCAUUAAGAAUUAUAAAUAUUUGUGAAAUUUACACAGCAAACAAUAAUCAUACAAUCAAAACAAAAAUAAUCAAAACUUUUAACAAUGGAUCUCUUGGUUCUCGUAUCGAUGAAGAACGCAGCGAAACGCGAUAUUUCUUGUGAAUUGCAGAAGUGAAUCAUCAGUUUUUGAACGCACAUUGCACUUUGGGGUAUCCCCCAAAGUAUACUUGUUUGAGCGUUGUUUCUCUCUUGGAAUUGCAUUGCUUUUCUAAAAAAUCGAAUCAAAUUCGUUUGAAAAACAACACUAUUCAACCUCAGAUCAAGUAGGAUUACCCGCUGAACUUAAGCAUAUCAAUAAGCGGAGGAAAAGAAACCAACAGGGAUUGCCUUAGUAACGGCGAGUGAAGCGGCAAAAGCUCAAAUUUGAAAUCGGCCACCAGGUCGAGUUGUAAUUUGUAGAUGGUAUCUUGAGAGCGGAUUAAGUCUGUUGGAACACACCCCCUUAAAAGGGGGAAGCCCCGUAAAAACUAUUCUCAUUGUAGAAACUUUCCAAAAAACCAAUUUUUUUGGGAAUGCACCUCUUAGUGGGGGGGAAAUUCCUUCU